RNAcentral lists this ribosomal RNA (449 nucleotides) under uncultured bacterium. Its description in RNAcentral is "bacterial SSU rRNA". It matches the Rfam family "Bacterial small subunit ribosomal RNA", at positions 355 to 796 of the family's 1533-position model. The record is from RNAcentral.
UGGGGAAUCUUGCGCAAUGCGCGAAAGCGUGACGCAGCAACGCCGCGUGGGGGAAGAAGGCUUUCGGGUUGUAAACCCCUUUCAGUUGGGACGAAGCUUCGCCGGUGAAUAGCCGGCCGGAGUGACGGUACCUUCACAAGAAGCACCGGCUAACUACGUGCCAGCAGCCGCGGUAAUACGUAGGGUGCAAGCGUUGUCCGGAAUUAUUGGGCGUAAAGAGCGUGUAGGCGGCCCGAUUAGUCCGCUGUGAAAGUCCAGGGCUCAACCCUGGAAUGCCGGUGGAUACUGUCGGGCUAGAGUCCGGAAGGGGCGAGUGGAAUUCCUGGUGUAGCGGUGAAAUGCGCAGAUAUCAGGAGGAACACCAAUGGCGAAGGCAGCUCGCUGGGACGUGACUGACGCUGAGACGCGAAAGCGUGGGGAGCAAACAGGAUUAGAUACCCCCGUAGUCC